This 326-nucleotide ribosomal RNA is filed under the name uncultured fungus. RNAcentral describes it as "SSU rRNA". It matches the Rfam family "Eukaryotic small subunit ribosomal RNA", at positions 39 to 370 of the family's 1831-position model. Lineage: Eukaryota; Fungi. The record is from RNAcentral.
AAAGAUUAAGCCAUGCAUGUCUAAGUAUAAGCAAUUAUACCGUGAAACUGCGAAUGGCUCAUUAAAUCAGUUAUCGUUUAUUUGAUAGUACCUUACUACUUGGAUAACCGUGGUAAUUCUAGAGCUAAUACAUGCUGAAAACCCCAACUUCGGAAGGGGUGUAUUUAUUAGAUAAAAAACCAACGCCCUUCGGGGCUUCUUGGUGAUUCAUGAUAACUUUACGGAUCGCAUGGCCUUGCGCCGGCGACGGUUCAUUCAAAUUUCUGCCCUAUCAACUUUCGAUGGUAAGGUAUUGGCUUACCAUGGUUCAACGGGUAACGGGGAAU